UACGUAGGGGGCAAGCGUUGUCCGGAAUCAUUGGGCGUAAAGCGCACGUAGGCGGCUUGUUAAGUCAGGGGUGAAAUCCUGGAGCUCAACUCCAGAACUGCCUUUGAUACUGGCAAGCUUGGAGUCCGGGAGAGGUGAGUGGAACUGCGAGUGUAGAGGUGAAAUUCGUAGAUAUUAGGAAGAACACCGGUGGCGAAGGCGGCCCACUGGUCCGGUACUGACGCUGAGGUGCGAAAGCGUGGGGAGCAAACAGG
This 254-nucleotide ribosomal RNA is filed under the name uncultured bacterium. RNAcentral's name for it is "partial 16S ribosomal RNA". It matches the Rfam family "Bacterial small subunit ribosomal RNA", at positions 524 to 776 of the family's 1533-position model. The record is from RNAcentral.